UUGUAGUCUGCAACCCGACUACAUGAAGCUGGAAUCGCUAGUAAUCGCGGAUCAGAAUGCCGCGGUGAAUACGUUCCCGGGUCUUGUACACACCGCCCGUCACACCAUGGGAGUCGGAAAUGCCCGAAGUCUGUGACCCCAACCUUAGGGGAGGGAGCAGCCGAAGGCAGGUCGGAUGACUGGGGGUGAAGUCGUAACAAGGUAUC
RNAcentral lists this ribosomal RNA (206 nucleotides) under uncultured bacterium. RNAcentral's name for it is "partial 16S ribosomal RNA". It matches the Rfam family "Bacterial small subunit ribosomal RNA", at positions 1298 to 1500 of the family's 1533-position model. The record is from RNAcentral.